UACGAAGGGGGCUAGCGUUGCUCGGAAUCACUGGGCGUAAAGGGUGCGUAGGCGGGGCUUUAAGUCAGGGGUGAAAUCCUGGAGCUCAACUCCAGAACUGCCUUUGAUACUGGCGAUCUUGAGUCCGGGAGAGGUGAGUGGAACUCCGAGUGUAGAGGUGAAAUUCGUAGAUAUUCGGAAGAACACCAGUGGCGAGGGCGGCUCACUGGCCCGGUACUGACGCUGAGGUGCGAAAGCGUGGGGAGCAAACAGG
Molecule: ribosomal RNA, 253 nt
Filed under: uncultured bacterium
Lineage: Bacteria
Description: partial 16S ribosomal RNA
Rfam family: Bacterial small subunit ribosomal RNA
Source: RNAcentral